GACGAACGCUGGCGGCGUGCUUAACACAUGCAAGUCGAGCGAUGAAGUUCCUUCGGGAAUGGAUUAGCGGCGGACGGGUGAGUAACACGUGGGUAACCUGCCUCAUAGAGGGGAAUAGCCUUUCGAAAGGAAGAUUAAUACCGCAUAAGAUUGUAGUAUCGCAUGAUACAGCAAUUAAAGGAGUAAUCCGCUAUGAGAUGGACCCGCGUCGCAUUAGGUAGUUGGUGAGGUAACGGCUCACCAAGGCGACGAUGCGUAGCCGACCUGAGAGGGUGAUCGGCCACAUUGGGACUGAGGCACGGCCCAGACUCCUACGGGAGGCAGCAGUGGGGAAUAUUGCACAAUGGGGGAAACCCUGAUGCAGCAACGCCGCGUGAGUGAUGACGGUCUUCGGAUUGUAAAACUCUGUCUUCAGGGACGAUAAUGACGGUACCUGAGGAGGAAGCCACGGCUAACUACGUGCCAGCAGCCGCAGUAA
Molecule: ribosomal RNA, 478 nt
Filed under: uncultured bacterium
Lineage: Bacteria
Description: partial 16S ribosomal RNA
Rfam family: Bacterial small subunit ribosomal RNA
Source: RNAcentral